This 490-nucleotide ribosomal RNA is filed under the name uncultured bacterium. RNAcentral describes it as "bacterial SSU rRNA". It matches the Rfam family "Bacterial small subunit ribosomal RNA", at positions 36 to 518 of the family's 1533-position model. The record is from RNAcentral.
CUAGCGGCAGGCUUAACACAUGCAAGUCGAGGGGCGAGCGGGAUGUAGCAAUACAUUGCCGGCGACCGGCGGAUGGGUGCGUAACGCGUAUGCAACCUACCUAUACAGGGGAAUAACCUUCGAAAGGGAGACUAACACCCCAUGGUAUUGAUUUAAGGCAUCUUAGAUUAAUUAAAUAUUUAUAGGUAUAAGAUGGGCAUGCGUAUGAUUAGCUAGUUGGUAAGGUAACGGCUUACCAAGGCGACGAUCAUUAGGGGUUCUGAGAGGAAGGUCCCCCCACACUGGUACUGAGACACGGACCAGACUCCUACGGGAGGCAGCAGUGAGGAAUAUUGGUCAAUGGGCGCAAGCCUGAACCAGCCAUGCCGCGUGCAGGAAAGACGGCCUUAUGGGUUGUAAACUGCUUUUACAUAAGACUAACCGUAUAUUUGCGAAUAUACCUGAAUGUAUUAUGAGAAUAAGGAUCGGCUAACUCCGUGCCAGCAGCCGC